UACGAAGGGGGCUAGCGUUGCUCGGAAUCACUGGGCGUAAAGGGUGCGUAGGUGGGUCUUUAAGUCAGAGGUGAAAUCCUGGAGCUCAACUCCAGAACUGCCUUUGAUACUGAGGAUCUUGAGUUCGGGAGAGGUGAGUGGAACUGCGAGUGUAGAGGUGAAAUUCGUAGAUAUUCGCAAGAACACCAGUGGCGAAGGCGGCUCACUGGCCCGAUACUGACGCUGAGGCACGAAAGCGUGGGGAGCAAACAGG
Molecule: ribosomal RNA, 253 nt
Filed under: uncultured bacterium
Lineage: Bacteria
Description: partial 16S ribosomal RNA
Rfam family: Bacterial small subunit ribosomal RNA
Source: RNAcentral